AUGCCUAAUGAGCUUGAAAUGAGCUUGCAGCGUCUGCUCGAGCGAGCACGGGGCCUGGUGUCGGCGGCGCUGGACGCGGCGACCGUCUUUGGCGGGCGGUGGAAGACCAUCGCAGUGAGGCUGGAGAGGCCACGCUCGCCGCCCAAGGCUGGCAAGCUGCAGAUGCAGAGCGACCUCGACGCUCUCACCGGGAAGCUGGACCUCAGCCUUUGGACUGCGCGCUGCUUGUCAAGACAGGUGUGCUCCUCGCAGAUGGACGUGCGGGAGCUGCUCGCUAGGCUGCAAACCGGGCACACCGAGACGAAGCACCGGGCCGUGGAGGGGCUCCAUGAUGCGCUGCGCGAGGACGAGAAGAGCGUGAUGUCGGCGCUCGGCCGUGGCAACGUGGCCGCGCUGGUGCAGCCGCUUAUGGCGACGGCGCCCAAGAUCAGGGAGAAGGUGGACACCGUUCAUCCGGCUGGCAGAGUCCGUCCAUCGUCUGUCCAUGUCACCCAAGAUUGCCCGCGUCGUCUACUCAUCGAAAUCUGCCAGACCGGGGACUCCAUCUCGCAAUCCGCGACCGCGGGCACGCUCAAGAACCUCUCCGCGGUGCCGGAGGUCCGGCAAGCGCUCGCCGAGGAAGGCAUCGUGCGCGUGAUGAUCAGCCUUCUCGACCGCGGCGGCUUCCUGCCUAGCCUGCGGCGCGCCGUGGUGUCCGAGGGCGCGCUGCCUAGCCUGCUCGCCUACCUCGAUGGCCCACUGCCGCAGGAGUCCGCCGUGGGCGCCGUCUCGCCGGACACACUUGUGUCCCUCGGCGUGCUCCCGCAGCUCGCGCAUCAGGCGGGCGCGGGGGGCAUCUGCAGGAUCUCCAGUUCCCCUGAGAUGAAGCGCCGAGUGGCCGACCACGGGUGCAUGCCGCUGCUGGUGCGGCUGCUGGAGGCCAAGUCGAACGGCGCGCGGGAGGUGGCGGCGGCGACCCUGAUGAGCUGCCCGGCGAACGCGAGGAGCGUCAAGAAGGAUGACAAGAGCGUGCCGAACCUGGUGCACCUGCUGGACCCGAGCCCGGGGGACACGGUCAAGAAGUACGCCAUCUCAGGCGCCAUCGGGUACCUGAACAAGCUCUCCGAGAUGGACGUGGCAGGCGCCAACAAGCAUCGGGUAUCUGAAGAAGCUCAUGUCUGCCGCCUGGUGAUAACAAAGGCCGGGAAUUAA
This 1191-nucleotide ribosomal RNA is filed under the name Triticum aestivum (bread wheat). RNAcentral's name for it is "partial small subunit ribosomal RNA". The record is from RNAcentral. Lineage: Eukaryota; Viridiplantae; Streptophyta; Magnoliopsida; Poales; Poaceae.